GAUCGAGUUCUGAUUAUUGAAAGGUGCUUGCAUCUUGAUUUAAUUUGAAACGAGUGGCGGACGGGUGAGUAACACGUGGGUAACCUGCCCUUAAGUGGGGGAUAACAUUUGGAAACAGAUGCUAAUACCGCAUAAAUCCAAGAACCGCAUGGUUCUUGGCUGAAAGAUGGCGUAAGCUAUCGCUUUUGGAUGGACCCGCGGCGUAUUAGCUAGUUGGUGAGGUAACGGCUCACCAAGGCAAUGAUACGUAGCCGAACUGAGAGGUUGAUCGGCCACAUUGGGACUGAGACACGGCCCAAACUCCUACGGGAGGCAGCAGUAGGGAAUCUUCCACAAUGGACGCAAGUCUGAUGGAGCAACGCCGCGUGAGUGAAGAAGGCUUUCGGGUCGUAAAACUCUGUUGUUGGAGAAGAAUGGUCGGCAGAGUAACUGUUGUCGGCGUGACGGUAUCCAACCAGAAAGCCACGGCUAACUACGUGCCAGCAGCCGCGGUAAUACGUAGGUGGCAAGCGUUAUCCGGAUUUAUUGGGCGUAAAGCGAGCGCAGGCGGUUUUUA
This 556-nucleotide ribosomal RNA is filed under the name Lacticaseibacillus rhamnosus. RNAcentral describes it as "bacterial SSU rRNA". It matches the Rfam family "Bacterial small subunit ribosomal RNA", at positions 60 to 584 of the family's 1533-position model. The record is from RNAcentral. Lineage: Bacteria; Bacillati; Bacillota; Bacilli; Lactobacillales; Lactobacillaceae.